GACGAACCGUGCGAGCGUUGUUCGGAAUCACUGGGCUUAAAGGGCGCGUAGGCGGGUUUGCAAGUCUGCGGUGAAAGCCUCCAGCUUAACUGGAGAAGUGCCGUGGAUACUGCGGAUCUCGAGGAGGGUAGGGGCAUCUGGAACGGUCGGUGGAGCGGUGAAAUGCGUUGAUAUCGACCGGAACUCCGGUGGCGAAGGCGAGGUGCUGGACCCUUUCUGACGCUGAGGCGCGAAAGCCAGGGGAGCGAACGGG
Molecule: ribosomal RNA, 253 nt
Filed under: uncultured bacterium
Lineage: Bacteria
Description: partial 16S ribosomal RNA
Rfam family: Bacterial small subunit ribosomal RNA
Source: RNAcentral